UGAAAGAGGCUGGGAGACCGGAGGGGCUAUUGCUAGGGCAAACCAGCUGCAGGCUUACAGCCAGCAGCUAGAUUCCCCUCCCCAUGGAACCAACAGUGAACUUCUGUUUGGUC
Molecule: long non-coding RNA, 113 nt
Organism: Gavialis gangeticus (Gharial)
Lineage: Eukaryota; Metazoa; Chordata; Crocodylia; Gavialidae
Exons: 3
Source: RefSeq, a predicted model, not a curated record